This 114-nucleotide small nucleolar RNA is filed under the name Microcebus murinus (gray mouse lemur). Its description in RNAcentral is "Small nucleolar RNA SNORA72 (ENSMICG00000022078.3)". It matches the Rfam family "Small nucleolar RNA SNORA72", at positions 25 to 132 of the family's 132-position model. From Rfam's summary of the family: U72 is a member of the H/ACA class of snoRNAs. The snoRNA gene is located in intron 4 of the ribosomal L30 protein gene in human, mouse and chicken. Lineage: Eukaryota; Metazoa; Chordata; Mammalia; Primates; Cheirogaleidae. The record is from Rfam by way of RNAcentral.
UUGAGUCAAUUUAUGGAAAUAUGACAGGCUAAACAUUCGCUAUAUUAAAACCAUGCAUGUGUCCCAGACCUAGUUCUUUCCCUAGGUUUGGUUUUGUAAAUGCUUGUGAUAAGC